Molecule: long non-coding RNA, 1066 nt
Organism: Brassica napus (rape)
Lineage: Eukaryota; Viridiplantae; Streptophyta; Magnoliopsida; Brassicales; Brassicaceae
Exons: 4
Source: RefSeq, a predicted model, not a curated record
GUCGGGUCUUAAUUAAACGUUUCAAGACACGCUUCUUUGUGGACGCGUGUUGAUAGGGCAUUGGAGAUGUGAUUUUGGUCGGUGAAGAAAACUUCAACCCGACGAAGGAUGUGUUCUCUCUUCCCCGAAGUCGACGAUGACCACACUACCAUACGCCGACGUCGAUUGCAACCUCAGAGCUUUAACCGGCCGCGCCGAGGGUUUCGGCCGCUUCGCCGCCGGUGGUCUCCACGGCGAUCUCUGCGUCGUCACCUCUCUCGUAGGUUUGACCGACAAUCGUUGAACAUAUCUAGUCUAUUGAUUGUGUGAUGAUGGACCUGGAUCUCUCCUCGAAGGAGGUAGGAGGAAAGAGCCGUUAUGGAUUCUCUAAUCCUCUCUGUCUUGGCGCGCUCUCUCUCUCUCUGUCUCUCCAUAGUUCCGUAAAACUUCUUACUUUCACAGUUUGUGUCUGUGCGAUAAUGGCCAUGUCUGAGCUUUCAACCCCCAAAACGACGUCGCCUUUCCUCCGCUCUUCGUCUCAGCUUCGCCUCUCCUCCAAGUUGCAUCUUUCAAACCAGUUUCGCCAUCUUCUUCUUCCUCCACCUCUCCACACAACUUCCAUCUCCAAAUCUCUUGCUCUGUUUUCUCAGAAUAGCCAAGCACCUGUCGCGGUUCAAGAAAAUGGGUCGAUGAAGACGAAGAAAGAGUGUUAUGGAGUGUUCUGCCUCACCUAUGACCUCAAAGCUAGGAGGAGACUUAAUCAUGGAAGAAGAUGAUCAAUAUCGCAGUCUCAGGUGCUGCAGGCAUGAUUUCAAACCACCUUCUCUUCAAACUUGCUUCAGGUUCAGUGUUAGGACCAAACCAGCCCAUUGCUUUGAAACUUCUUGGAUCAGAGAGAUCAAUCCAAGCCCUCGAAGGUGUUGCAAUGGAGCUGGAGGAUUCCUUGUUCCCCUUGUUGAGAGAAGUUGAUAUAGGAACAUAUCCAUAUGAAGUGUUUCAAGAUGUGGACUGGGCUCUUCUGAUUGGUGCAAAGCCUCGAGGACCUGGAAUGGAACGUGCUGCUUUGUUCUGACCAAAUAUAACGUAU